CGGGGACCUGCACAAGCGGUGGAUGAUGUGGAUUAAUUCGAUGCAACGCGAAAAACCUUACCUACCCUUGACAUGUCCGGAAUCCCGAAGAGAUUUGGGAGUGCUCGCAAGAGAACCGGAACACAGGUGCUGCAUGGCUGUCGUCAGCUCGUGUCGUGAGAUGUUGGGUUAAGUCCCGCAACGAGCGCAACCCUUGUCAUUAGUUGCCAUCAUUUGGUUGGGCACUCUAAUGAGACUGCCGGUGACAAACCGGAGGAAGUGGGGAUGACGUCAAGUCCUCAUGGCCCUUAUGGGUAGGGCUUCACACGUCAUACAAUGGUCGGUACAGAGGGUUGCCAAGCCGCGAGGCGGAGCCAAUCCCACAAAGCCGAUCGUAGUCCGGAUUGUUCUCUGCAACUCGAGAGCAUGAAGUCGGAAUCGCUAGUAAUCGCAGGUCAGCAUACUGCGGUGAAUACGUUCCCGGGUCUU
RNAcentral lists this ribosomal RNA (468 nucleotides) under uncultured Rhodocyclaceae bacterium. Its description in RNAcentral is "bacterial SSU rRNA". It matches the Rfam family "Bacterial small subunit ribosomal RNA", at positions 914 to 1382 of the family's 1533-position model. Lineage: Bacteria; Pseudomonadati; Pseudomonadota; Betaproteobacteria; Rhodocyclales; Rhodocyclaceae. The record is from RNAcentral.